Molecule: long non-coding RNA, 808 nt
Filed under: Capsella rubella
Lineage: Eukaryota; Viridiplantae; Streptophyta; Magnoliopsida; Brassicales; Brassicaceae
Description: long non-coding RNA (CRUB_LNC002496)
Source: RNAcentral
UCGGAUUUAAGGCUCUUGUUAAAAUGAGUAUAUAAGUCAGAUAUGGGUUGAUGGUAGUGCAUACAAUGAGGUAAUUUAAAUUACCUCUUUACCAGUCCCGUGGUGUUGCCUAUUCAAAUGCCUCGGCUCGGUUUUAGACUCUUCUUUAUUGAUGAGUCCACAAACCAGAAAAUGGAUUGAUGAUGAAGCGUGAUUGAGAAACUGUCCCUUGUUGCCUAUUCAAAUGUCUCAGCUCGGGUUAAGACUUGUUGAGAUGGGCUAAAAAUCAGAAAUGGGUUGAUGGUAGUGCAUGCAAUGAGGUAAUUUAAAUUACCUCUUUACAAGUCCCUUGGUGUUGCCUAUUCAAAUGCCUCGGCUCGGUUUUAGACUCGUCUUUAAUGAUGAGUCUACAAACCAGAAAAUGGAUUGAUGAUGGUGCGUUAGUGAGAAACUGUCCCUUGUUGCCUAUUCAAAUGCCUCAGCUCGGGUUAUGACCCUUGUUGUGAUGAGCUAUAAAUCAGAAAUGGGUUGAUGGUAGUGCAUGCAAUGAGGUAAUUUAAAUUACUUCUUUUCCAGUCCUGUGGUGUUGACAAAUGCCUCGGCUCGGUUUUAGACUCGUCUUUAAUGAGGAGUCAACAAACCAGAAAAUGGAUUGAUGAUGUAGCGUGAGUGAGAAACUGUCCCUUGUUGCCUAUUCAAAUGCCUCGGCUCGGGUUAUGACCCUUGUUAUGAUGAGCUAUAAAUCAGAAAUGGGAUGAUGGUAGUGCAUGCAAUGAGGUAAUUGAAAUUGCCUCUUUACUAGCCCCGUGUUGUCUAUUCAAAUGCCUCG